RNAcentral lists this unclassified non-coding RNA (167 nucleotides) under uncultured Clavicipitaceae. RNAcentral describes it as "sequence contains ITS2". Lineage: Eukaryota; Fungi; Ascomycota; Sordariomycetes; Hypocreales; Clavicipitaceae. The record is from RNAcentral.
CAACCCUCGAGCCCCCCGCUGGGGGGCUCGGUGUUGGGGGACGGCCCUCACCCGGCCGCCCCCGAAAUGCAGUGGCGACCUCGCCGCAGCCUCCCCUGCGCAGUAACGCACAAGCCUCGCACCGGAGCGCGGAGACGGUCACGCCGUGAAACGCCCAACUCUUUAGA